Molecule: non-coding RNA, 1373 nt
Organism: Podarcis lilfordi (Lilford's wall lizard)
Lineage: Eukaryota; Metazoa; Chordata; Lepidosauria; Squamata; Lacertidae
Source: the annotation of a GenBank genome assembly
GACUUGCCGAUCAGCCAGCCACUGCAUUAUUGAAAAUAAACGAUUCGCUGGAACAACUCCAUAAGAAAACAGAUGCGAUAAAUGUGAAAUUGGAUGUUGCAAAUAUUGAAACUGAUUUAAUUGUAGAAAGUUUAAAUAAUUUGGGACAAAAGGUGAAUACCAAUUCAGAAACCACCCAGAAACUGAUACAGGAAUCUACUCUGAUACGGCAAACUGCAGAUGAAGUCAGGGAAAAAACCCUUGCUGCUGAAUUUAAAGUAAUACAACUGGAGAGGAGCGUCCCAUCCAUACAAAGACAACUUGAUGAACAUAAGCUGACAUUCGUUAUGAUUGAACUUAAAGAAGAACGGAUGAAUUUGAGGACCAGAGCCCUAUCUGAAUUGGAAAAGGAAAGCCUGACAGAGUUUCAGGAGGUGACAGGACUAACAUUGGUUGAGAAGGAGAGGUAUUUGGGGGUUAGUAUGACCGCCAAAAAUGUGAAUCUGCUUAAGGACAACUGUGAAGGAUGUUGGAUUGAAGAGAAGGGGGAUUUGGAUAUAUGGACAAAUCAGAAGUUGUUACUGUUGGGCCGAGUCAUUGUGGUGGGGAUGAGGGCUGCUGUGUUGCUGGGGAUGUUGCUUUUGUUUCAAACAUUGCAAGCUCUGGAUGGGAUGGAGGGUCUCAGGAGGUGGCAGAGGGAUGCUCCUAGAGUUGUUUGGCAGGGCAGGAAGCUUCGAGUCAAACUUAAGAUAUUGAUGGCUGCUAAAGAAGGAGGUGGACCUGCCCGCCAGACCUUUAAACUUCGUUGUGAACCAUCUGCCUUUUGCUGGUUGAGAGAAUGGUUGCUUCUUGAAAACACUGAAGUGUUGGACAAUGGCAGACGAAGUUGAUGGACUAUAGGGAAUUGGCGGAAAUGACUGGCAAGAUCCGAGACCAGGGUGAAGAGUCGGUGGAAGAAGAUUGGAAAAAGUUUAAAGACUAUUUAUAGAAAUAUUGUAAAAUUAAGGAAUGUUAGAAAAAUGUUGGAAUGAAAUUACAUGGCUUUAGUAGAAAUGUCAUAAGGAAUUAAGUAUAAAUAGAUUAAUAGAAAAUUAAAGGAAAAGUAUGGCAAGAAUGUGUUAAGAUAAUUAUACAACAGAAAACAGAGUAAGAUGGAAAGGAAUUGCUGAUACAAAUAAUAGAAGUGGAAUACAAAAAGGGAGGUGUGAGGAAGUCGCUGGAAAUAAGUGAAUGAAAUAUAAGAUAUUGAAAAUGUUUGAGGUGUUUUUAAAUUGUUUUUGUUUGUUUUUGCUUGAUUUGUUAAUUCAUGUAGCGUUUUUGUAUUGUAUUCGUAUUGGUUUUUUUUUCUUUUUCUUCUUUUUCUUUUUGUUUGUAGUGCUGUGUUGGAAAUUUUG